RNAcentral lists this ribosomal RNA (205 nucleotides) under uncultured bacterium. Its description in RNAcentral is "partial 16S ribosomal RNA". It matches the Rfam family "Bacterial small subunit ribosomal RNA", at positions 570 to 774 of the family's 1533-position model. The record is from RNAcentral.
CGUAGGCGGCUUGGCAAGUGGAUGGUGAAAUCCCUCGGCUUAACCGAGGAACUGCCGUCCAAACUGCUUUGCUUGAGGCCGGGAGAGGCGAGUGGAAUUCCCAGUGUAGCGGUGAAAUGCGUAGAUAUUGGGAGGAACACCAGUGGCGAAGGCGGCUCGCUGGACCGGUUCUGACGCUGAUGCGCGAAAGCGUGGGGAGCAAACG